AAACUUAGGUUAAACGCAAACCCGGGACCUUCAAAGCCCCAAACAAGCCACCUUGCUUAGUUUCUG
This 66-nucleotide transfer RNA is filed under the name Gehyra capensis. Its description in RNAcentral is "tRNA-Trp". Lineage: Eukaryota; Metazoa; Chordata; Lepidosauria; Squamata; Gekkonidae. The record is from RNAcentral.